UUCGACCUCAGCGUAGUAAGAUCACCCGCUGAACUUAAGCAUAUCAAUAAGCGGAGGA
RNAcentral lists this ribosomal RNA (58 nucleotides) under Entelexis sorbosivorans. RNAcentral describes it as "Starmerella sorbosivorans partial 26S ribosomal RNA". Lineage: Eukaryota; Fungi; Ascomycota; Dipodascomycetes; Dipodascales; Trichomonascaceae. The record is from RNAcentral.